Molecule: ribosomal RNA, 253 nt
Filed under: uncultured bacterium
Lineage: Bacteria
Description: partial 16S ribosomal RNA
Rfam family: Bacterial small subunit ribosomal RNA
Source: RNAcentral
UACGUAGGGGGCAAGCGUUAUCCGGAUUUACUGGGUGUAAAGGGGGCGCAGACGGCGCGGCAAGUCCGGAGUGAAAUCCCAGGGCCCAACCCUGGGGCUGCUCUGGAAACUGCCGGGCUGGAGUGCUGGAGGGGCAGGCGGAAUACCUAGUGUAGCGGUGAAAUGCGUAGAUAUUAGGAGGAACACCGGUGGCGAAGGCGGCCUGCUGGACAGCGACUGACGUUGAGGCCCGAAAGCGUGGGGAGCAAACAGG